UUAGUUUCCAUGAUUAUAUUUUGAUUAUCUAAUUUAGAUUUCUGUUUACUUAAAUUCUAUUUAGUGCUGCAAAGAAUAUAAAAUUUUUAAUAGACUGGACUAGAAAUUGUUGGUAGAGUUUUGAAAGGCCUCUUUUCCUUCAGAAUAAUGAAAAUAGUAUAUGUCCCAAAUUUUAAAUAAGUAGAGUUUUUAGCAUUCUAAAUUAAUAUAGCUUGUUAACAUUUGGUUUUGUUUUUUUCCAUCUGCAAAGGAAAAAAAAGGACUAUUAGAAUGGAAAAGAUAGGGACUGCUUGCCUUGCAUGCAGAGGAACUCAGUUUGAUCCCUAGCAGCAUAUGGUCUCCUGAGCAUUUGCUCAAAACCCCACACCCAAAAAACGGGUAUAGAGAGAAAAGUUGUUGGAUGGUCAUUUCAUUUUGAUAACAUGUGGAAUGGUCUUAAAAGCUCACAGAAAUGAAAAAACAAUUAGGAUUUCUCCUGUUUAAGAAAAAGGAAUUUCAGCUUUAAUUUUGGAAUAUAAAAUGUCUAUUUGCUA
Molecule: long non-coding RNA, 533 nt
Organism: Suncus etruscus (white-toothed pygmy shrew)
Lineage: Eukaryota; Metazoa; Chordata; Mammalia; Eulipotyphla; Soricidae
Exons: 2
Source: RefSeq, a predicted model, not a curated record